CGGGCGAGGUUGCUUCGGUAACUGAGCUAGCGGCGGACGGGUGAGUAAUGCUUAGGAAUCUGCCUAUUAGUGGGGGACAACAUUCCGAAAGGGAUGCUAAUACCGCAUACGUCCUACGGGAGAAAGCAGGGGCUCUUUAUGACCUUGCGCUAAUAGAUGAGCCUAAGUCGGAUUAGCUAGUUGGUGGGGUAAAGGCCUACCAAGGCGACGAUCUGUAGCGGGUCUGAGAGGAUGAUCCGCCACACUGGGACUGAGACACGGCCCACACUAAUACGGGAGGCAGCAGUGGGGAAUAUUGGACAAUGGGGGGAACCCUGAUCCAGCCAUGCCGCGUGUGUGAAGAAGGCCUUUUGGUUGUAAAGCACUUUAAGUGAGGAGGAGGCUUUCUUGGUUAAUACCUGAGAAGAGUGGACGUUACUCGCAGAAUAAGCACCGGCUAACUCUGUGCCAGCAGCCGCGGUAAUACAGAGGGUGCGAGCGUUAAUCGGAUUUACUGGGCGUAAAGCGCGCGUAGGUGGCUAAUUAAGUCAAAUGUGAAAUCCCCGAGCUUAACUUGGGAAUUGCAUUCGAUACUGGUUAGCUAGAGUAUGGGAGAGGAUGGUAGAAUUCCAGGUGUAGCGGUGAAAUGCGUAGAGAUCUGGAGGAAUACCGAUGGCGAAGGCAGCCAUCU
Molecule: ribosomal RNA, 670 nt
Filed under: Acinetobacter seohaensis
Lineage: Bacteria; Pseudomonadati; Pseudomonadota; Gammaproteobacteria; Moraxellales; Moraxellaceae
Description: bacterial SSU rRNA
Rfam family: Bacterial small subunit ribosomal RNA
Source: RNAcentral